RNAcentral lists this ribosomal RNA (496 nucleotides) under uncultured bacterium. RNAcentral's name for it is "partial 16S ribosomal RNA". It matches the Rfam family "Bacterial small subunit ribosomal RNA", at positions 28 to 506 of the family's 1533-position model. The record is from RNAcentral.
GAUGAACGCUGGCGGCGUGCCUAAUACAUGCAAGUCGAGCGAACGGACGAGAAGCUUGCUUCUCUGAUGUUAGCGGCGGACGGGUGAGUAACACGUGGAUAACCUACCUAUAAGACUGGGAUAACUUCGGGAAACCGUAGCUAAUACCGGAUAAUAUUUUGAACCGCAUGGUUCAAAAGUGAAAGACGGUCUUGCUGUCACUUAUAGAUGGAUCCGCGCUGCAUUAGCUAGUUGGUAAGGUAACGGCUUACCAAGGCAACGAUGCAUAGCCGACCUGAGAGGGUGAUCGCCCACACUGGAAUUGAGACACGGCCCAGAACCCUACGGGAGGCAGCAGUAGGGAAUCUCCCGAAAGGGGCGAAAGCCUGAGGGAGCAACGCCGCGGGAGUGAAGAAGGUCUUCGGAUCGUAAAACGCUGUUAUUAGGGAAAAACAUAUGUGUAAGAAACAGUGCCACCUUGGACGGUACCAAACAAAAAAGCAACGGCAAAUCCCGG